This is a ribosomal RNA of 1554 nucleotides. It matches the Rfam family "Bacterial small subunit ribosomal RNA".
UUUAUGGAGAGUUUGAUCCUGGCUCAGGAUGAACGCUGGCGGCGUGCCUAAUACAUGCAAGUCGAGCGAACGGACGAGAAGCUUGCUUCUCUGAUGUUAGCGGCGGACGGGUGAGUAACACGUGGAUAACCUACCUAUAAGACUGGGAUAACUUCGGGAAACCGUAGCUAAUACCGGAUAAUAUUUUGAACCGCAUGGUUCAAAAGUGAAAGACGGUCUUGCUGUCACUUAUAGAUGGAUCCGCGCUGCAUUAGCUAGUUGGUAAGGUAACGGCUUACCAAGGCAACGAUGCAUAGCCGACCUGAGAGGGUGAUCGGCCACACUGGAACUGAGACACGGUCCAGACUCCUACGGGAGGCAGCAGUAGGGAAUCUUCCGCAAUGGGCGAAAGCCUGACGGAGCAACGCCGCGUGAGUGAUGAAGGUCUUCGGAUCGUAAAACUCUGUUAUUAGGGAAGAACAUAUGUGUAAGUAACUGUGCACAUCUUGACGGUACCUAAUCAGAAAGCCACGGCUAACUACGUGCCAGCAGCCGCGGUAAUACGUAGGUGGCAAGCGUUAUCCGGAAUUAUUGGGCGUAAAGCGCGCGUAGGCGGUUUUUUAAGUCUGAUGUGAAAGCCCACGGCUCAACCGUGGAGGGUCAUUGGAAACUGGAAAACUUGAGUGCAGAAGAGGAAAGUGGAAUUCCAUGUGUAGCGGUGAAAUGCGCAGAGAUAUGGAGGAACACCAGUGGCGUAGGCGUCUUUCUGGUCUGUAACUGACGCUGAUCUGCGAAAGCGUGUUGAUCCAACAGGACUAGAUACCCUGGUAGUCCACGCCGCAAACGAUCAGAGUUAAGAGUUCGGGGGUUUCCGCCCCUUAGUGCUGCUGCUAACGCAUUAAGCACUCCGCCUGGGGAGUACGACCGCAAGGUUGAAACUCAAAGGAAUUGACGGGGACCCGCACAAGCGGUGGAGCAUGUGGUUUAAUUCGAAGCAACGCGAAGAACCUUACCAAAUCUUGACAUCCUUUGACAACUCUAGAGAGAGAGCCUUCCCCUUCGGGGGACAAAGUGACAGGUGGUGCAUGGUUGUCGUCAGCUCGUGUCGUGAGAUGUUGGGUUAAGUCCCGCAACGAGCGCAACCCUUAAGCUUAGUUGCCAUCAUUAAGUUGGGCACUCUAAGUUGACUGCCGGUGACAAAGCGGAGGAAGGUGGGGAUGACGUCAAAUCAUCAUGCCCCUUAUGAUUUGGGCUACACACGUGCUACAAUGGACAAUACAAAGGGCAGCGAAACCGCGAGGUCAAGCAAAUCCCAUAAAGUUGUUCUCAGUUCGGAUUGUAGUCUGCAACUCGACUACAUGAAGCUGGAAUCGCUAGUAAUCGUAGAUCAGCAUGCUACGGUGAAUACGUUCCCGGGUCUUGUACACACCGCCCGUCACACCACGAGAGUUUGUAACACCCGAAGCCGGUGGAGUAACCUUUUAGGAGCUAGCCGUCGAAGGUGGGACAAAUGAUUGGGGUGAAGUCGUAACAAGGUAGCCGUAUCGGAAGGUGCGGCUGGAUCACCUCCUUUCU